Molecule: transfer RNA, 124 nt
Filed under: Nostoc sp. B(2019)
Lineage: Bacteria; Bacillati; Cyanobacteriota; Cyanophyceae; Nostocales; Nostocaceae
Description: tRNA-OTHER
Rfam family: tRNA
About the family: Transfer RNA (tRNA) molecules are approximately 80 nucleotides in length. Their secondary structure includes four short double-helical elements and three loops (D, anti-codon, and T loops).
Source: RNAcentral
UGGCAGGUAGCUCAGUGGUAGAGCGCCGAAAACAUCCUUGUUCACAUCUUGCCUGAAAAGGCCGACGAAUUAGGGUUAUCGCCUUUUAAGCCGGUUGUCGCAGGUUCAAGUCCUGCCCUGCCAC